This 426-nucleotide ribosomal RNA is filed under the name uncultured bacterium. RNAcentral describes it as "bacterial SSU rRNA". It matches the Rfam family "Bacterial small subunit ribosomal RNA", at positions 356 to 773 of the family's 1533-position model. The record is from RNAcentral.
AGGGAAUCUUCCGCAAUGGACGAAAGUCUGACGGAGCAACGCCGCGUGAGUGAUGAAGGUCUUCGGAUCGUAAAACUCUGUUGUUAGAGAAGAACAAGUACCGUUCGAAUAGGGCGGUACCUUGACGGUACCUAACCAGAAAGCCACGGCUAACUACGUGCCAGCAGCCGCGGUAAUACGUAGGUGGCAAGCGUUGUCCGGAAUUAUUGGGCGUAAAGCGCGCGCAGGCGGUUUCUUAAGUCUGAUGUGAAAGCCCACGGCUCAACCGUGGAGGGGCAUUGGAAACUGGGAGACUUGAGUGCAGAAGAGGAGAGUGGAAUUCCACGUGUAGCGGUGAAAUGCGUAGAGAUGUGGAGGAACACCAGUGGCGAAGGCGACUCUCUGGUCUGUAACUGACGCUGAGGCGCGAAAGCGUGGGGAGCGAAC